This 230-nucleotide ribosomal RNA is filed under the name uncultured bacterium. RNAcentral's name for it is "partial 16S ribosomal RNA". It matches the Rfam family "Bacterial small subunit ribosomal RNA", at positions 562 to 791 of the family's 1533-position model. The record is from RNAcentral.
AAAGCGUGCGCAGGCGGUUAUAUAAGACAGAUGUGAAAUCCCCGGGCUCAACCUGGGAACUGCAUUUGUGACUGUAUAGCUAGAGUACGGCAGAGGGGGAUGGAAUUCCGCGUGUAGCAGUGAAAUGCGUAGAUAUGCGGAGGAACACCGAUGGCGAAGGCAAUCCCCUGGACCUGUACUGACGCUCAUGCACGAAAGCGUGGGGAGCAAACAGGAUUAGAUACCCUAGU